Molecule: ribosomal RNA, 301 nt
Filed under: uncultured bacterium
Lineage: Bacteria
Description: partial 16S ribosomal RNA
Rfam family: Archaeal small subunit ribosomal RNA
Source: RNAcentral
CAGCAGCCGCGGGAAAACCAGCACCUCGAGUGGUCAAGAGGUUUAUUGGGCCUAAAGCAUCCGUAGCCGGUUGCAUAAGUUUUCGGUUAAAUCUAUGCGCUUAACGUAUAGGCCGCCGAAAAUACUGUGCAGCUAGGGGGUGGGAGAGGUACACGGUACUCGAUAGGAAGGGGUAAAAUCCUUUGAUCUAUUGAUGACCACCUGUGGCGAAGGCGGUGUACCAGAACACGUUCGACGGUGAGGGAUGAAAGCUGGGGGAGCAAACCGGAUUAGAUACCCGCGUAGUCCCUGUCUCUUAUAC